GGGCGUAGGCGGGGACAGAGGUGCUGGCGCCAGGCGCUCUGCGGGCAGGGCCAGAGGCGCGGGGACCGAGGCGAGGACGGAGGCAUACGGCGCGCAGGAGCAUAGGCGUGGGGCCCGAGAGGUCCUGCCGAGGUUGGUCCAUGAGAGCUCUUCCUGGAAGGCAGGUGGUGUGGCCCUGAAGACAUUGGCAGCUGGCAUCCUGAGGACCUUGGCGUGAUCACUAAUGGGCCCGGUCGGUUUGCACAACAUUGGACAGACCUGCUGCCUUAACUCCCUGAUUCAGGUGCUGAUUAUGAAUGUGGGAUUAACCAGAUACUGAAGAGGUAAGACUAUGUUCAGGCAG
RNAcentral lists this long non-coding RNA (343 nucleotides) under Sus scrofa (pig). Its description in RNAcentral is "lncRNA (ENSSSCG00070010542.1)". The record is from RNAcentral. Lineage: Eukaryota; Metazoa; Chordata; Mammalia; Artiodactyla; Suidae.